RNAcentral lists this ribosomal RNA (447 nucleotides) under uncultured bacterium. Its description in RNAcentral is "partial 16S ribosomal RNA". It matches the Rfam family "Bacterial small subunit ribosomal RNA", at positions 354 to 796 of the family's 1533-position model. The record is from RNAcentral.
GUUAAGAAUCUUGCGCAAUGGGGGGAACCCUGACGCAGCGACGCCGCGUGGAUGAUGAAGGCCUUCGGGUUCUAAAGUCCGGUAAGCAGGGAAGAAUAAGUGUGGGGUAAUAUUCCACAUGAUGACGGUACCUGCCUAAAGCCCCGGCUAACUACGUGCCAGCAGCCGCGGUAAUACGUAUGGGGCAAGCGUUGUUCGGAAUUAUUGGGCGUAAAGGGCGUCUAGGCGGGGGAUUAAGUUAGAUGUGAAAGCUAUGGGCUCAACCCAUAAAUUGCAUCUAAGACUGGUUCUCUUGAGGCCGGGAGAGGAGAGCGGAAUUCCAGGUGUAGCGGUGAAAUGCGUAGAUAUCUGGAAGAACACCAGUGGCGAAGGCGGCUCUCUGGCCUAGGACUGACGCUGAAGCGCGAAAGCGUGGGGAGCGAACAGGAUUAGAUACCGGGGUAGUCC